Molecule: ribosomal RNA, 253 nt
Filed under: uncultured bacterium
Lineage: Bacteria
Description: partial 16S ribosomal RNA
Rfam family: Bacterial small subunit ribosomal RNA
Source: RNAcentral
UACGGGGGGUGCGAGCGUUGUCCGGAAUCACUGGGCGUAAAGGGCGCGUAGGUGGUUUGAUAAGGGUGUGGUGAAAGUCCGGGGCUCAACCCCGGAUCUGCCAUGCCGACUGUCAAACUCGAGGGCUGUAGAGGCAGACGGAAUUCCGGGUGUAGCGGUGGAAUGCGUAGAGAUCCGGAGGAAGACCGGUGGCGAAGGCGGUCUGCUGGGCAGUUUCUGACACUGAGGCGCGACAGCGUGGGGAGCAAACAGG